Molecule: ribosomal RNA, 448 nt
Filed under: uncultured bacterium
Lineage: Bacteria
Description: bacterial SSU rRNA
Rfam family: Bacterial small subunit ribosomal RNA
Source: RNAcentral
GCCAGACUCCUACGGGAGGCAGCAGUGGGGGAUAUUGCACAAUGGGGGGAACCCUGAUGCAGCGACGCCGCGUGGGUGAAGAAGUAUUUCGGUAUGUAAAGCCCUAUCGGCAGGGAAGAAAUUGGACGGUACCUGACUAAGAAGCCCCGGCUAACUACGUGCCAGCAGCCGCGGUAAUACGUAGGGGGCAAGCGUUAUCCGGAUUCACUGGGUGUAAAGGGAGCGUAGACGGCCAUGCAAGCCUGGAGUGAAAGCCCGGGGCCCAACCCCGGGACUGCUCUGGGAACUGUGCGGCUGGAGUGCGGGAGGGGCAGGCGGAAUUCCUGGUGUAGCGGUGAAAUGCGUAGAUAUCAGGAGGAACAUCGGCGGCGAAGGCGGCCUGCUGGACCGCGACUGACGUUGAGGCUCGAAAGCGUGGGGAGCAAACAGGAUUAGAUACCCUCGUAGU